GGAUCGUGCGAGUGAAGCGCGCUGCGUUAAAAUGGCGGCAGGUGUGUCCGGCCGAACUGCUGCGGAUCGAGUCUAUUACACUGGUGUAAAUCGCGUUUCAUCUCACGCACCUUUAGAUUGUGACACUUCUAAAGUUGUUUAAAAAAAUAGACAAAUACGACUGCAAUCAUGGCUACGGAUCCGUAAAGCAGGUUUGUUUAACCAGCUAUGCAAGCAAUCUUCCUUUGUCAAGCCAGCGUUUAGAUGAAUGAACACACUGUCCAGGUGUGGUGAAAUGUAUGAAUAAUAGUGUCUUGCUGGAAAGCUUAUGUUCUUGAAGUUCUUGGAGCAAGUUAUCUUGGCUUGGUGGGUUCCAAUGUGCAGCCUUCAGGUGGUUUGUUGUGACCAUCUCAGCCAAUUAGUAUCUUUGAAGUGUGCUGUAGGACCAUAUGUGCAGUUGGAUGUGUCGUUCAUGUUGUCAUCUCUGCAAGAGGAGCAGCGAUGGUUGCAUGCAACUUGGAUAGUUUUAAAAGAGUGUGUUGCUAUUCAAUGGCCCUUGGUUCAGAGUGACGUGCGAUAGUUGAGAUUGCUUUUGUAGACCUGCAGCUAUGUCCAUACGUGUCUCAUCUUUCGCGGCUGCAACAUUUACAUUUGACGAAUGCAAGAAAGCCGAGAAGUUAGCGAUUCUUUGGAAAAUAACCAACUACUCGUUGGCAAUAACUGUACAAUAUCGCGGGAUAUUUGUACUCAAUCGGAGCCUUGGAACUAUGGGCCAAAGAACCUAGCGAUGUUCAAGAUAAUGAUGACGUCACUGUCACUUAGCAGGAAACGAAGAAACUGGAUACGGCACGAGGUUGACCAACGGUUGAGAAAUGCAAAUUCCUUUGAUACCGCAAUUCUGUGAGUUUUCAUGUGAAAUGUACUACAACCAAUUUCUUCAGGCCCCACUCAGUUUACACCAUUGCAACUUCCAAAGCUCCCGAAGAACAAUUCAAGACAUCCAUCGAAGUAUCUCUUUGUCGACUGAAACAAGUUACCACAAUAAACAAGUAAAAUACAAGCAUUUUUUUGUCAAUUUAUUUGUUGUGAAUUGCAUUAAAAACUUCCACGGGAUGCUAGUCUAUCGCCAUGAAUUUACACCGCUGCGGAUGGACGCAUUUAGAAAUUUAUUUUGUUUUGGAAGGCAAAAGAAAUAACGAAAGUCCGGUUUAUUCUUGAAG
This is a long non-coding RNA of Stylophora pistillata, 1199 nucleotides long. The record is from RefSeq and is a predicted model, not a curated record. NCBI's taxonomy places the organism in Eukaryota, Metazoa, Cnidaria, Anthozoa, Scleractinia, Pocilloporidae.